UGAUGAAGGCUUUAGGGUUGUAAAGCUCUUUUGUCCGGGAAGAUAAUGACUGUACCGGAAGAAUAAGCUCCGGCUAACUUCGUGC
Molecule: ribosomal RNA, 85 nt
Filed under: uncultured bacterium
Lineage: Bacteria
Description: partial 16S ribosomal RNA
Source: RNAcentral